UAGGGAAUCUUCGGCAAUGGACGGAAGUCUGACCGAGCAACGCCGCGUGAGUGAAGAAGGUUUUCGGAUCGUAAAGCUCUGUUGUUAUUUAAGAACGUUGGUAGGAGUGGAAAAUCUACCAAGUGUCGGUAACUAACCAGAAAUGCACGGCUAACUCCGUGCCAGCAGCCGCGGUAAUACGUAGGUCCCGAGCGUUGUCCGGAUUUAUUUGUCGUAAAGCGAGCGCAGGCGGUUCUUUAAGUCUGAAGUUAAAGGCAGUGGCUUAACCAUUGUACGCUUUGGAAACUGGAGGACUUGAGUGCAGAAGGGGAGAGUGGAAUUCCAUGUGUAGCGGUGAAAUGCGUAGAUAUAUGGAGGAACACAGGUGGCGAAAGCGGCUCUCUGGUCUGUAACUGACGCUGAGGCUCGAAAGCGUGGGGAGCAAACAGG
This 429-nucleotide ribosomal RNA is filed under the name Bacillota bacterium. RNAcentral describes it as "Firmicutes bacterium partial 16S ribosomal RNA". It matches the Rfam family "Bacterial small subunit ribosomal RNA", at positions 355 to 776 of the family's 1533-position model. The record is from RNAcentral. Lineage: Bacteria; Bacillati; Bacillota.